UUUUUGGCGGCGGGAUAGAACCGGGGACCUUUGGGUCCCGAGCAGAACAUCCUGACCAUUAGACAAAA
RNAcentral lists this transfer RNA (68 nucleotides) under Araneus ventricosus. RNAcentral describes it as "tRNA-Pro". The record is from RNAcentral. Lineage: Eukaryota; Metazoa; Arthropoda; Arachnida; Araneae; Araneidae.